Folsomia candida is the source of this 1186-nucleotide long non-coding RNA. RefSeq lists it as uncharacterized. NCBI's taxonomy places the organism in Eukaryota, Metazoa, Arthropoda, Collembola, Entomobryomorpha, Isotomidae. The transcript is spliced from 2 exons. The record is from RefSeq and is a predicted model, not a curated record.
GUAUGUAUGUAGUGACUGGACCAUGAUACUUGGGAUUAGUUGCAGAUUACACUAGCUGGACCAGUGGCAUAAUAAUUAUGCAUUCAAUUGAUUGAUAUGAUCUAAUUCAUUCACUCGCUCUCAACCCCUCUCGAUCUCUUCCCCUCGUAUUACAUUACACACACACACCCAGAAUAACUAUGUUUCAGACUGAUUUUUGGUGCAGCAUAGCUUCCCAGACAUACAAAUCUUGUUGUCAUUCUAUGGACUUUAACUAUACCUAAUUUAAUCCAAAGUUAGCAAUUCUUACGGUUGUAGAAAUUUAAAUUUUGUGAAAAAUGUCUGAAAUAAUAUUAGCAUUUUUUGGAGUACUACUAGCAGUUGCGACGUAUUUCCUUCCAAACUAUAUUUUUAAGAGAAAGCCACAAGUGAAAAUUGAAGAAAUAUCGAGAGAAAGUACGCCUGAGAGAGAAACUCGAUCAAGAAAUAGGAGAAAAUGAGCCAAAGAUGCAAAUCCAGGACUUUUGAGUAUUACGUACUUUCACCAAUAAAUCAUCAAUAGUUUAACGAAUAGAAUAGCUGUACCCCAGCAUUUAUUUAUUUAUUUAUUAUAUUUCGUUUUCAACACACACAAUUAUAAUCAUCAUUAGAAAAGUAAGCAUAACAAAUAAUUCAUGUCUUGUUGUACAUGAUGAAAAUUCUGUAUUUGGUUAUUUUUUGAUUUGUAAAUUUUUUUUGCAAAAGCUAAGAUUAGAUUAUUAAAUGUUUUUUAUAUAGAUUUCCUUUGUACAAAAUAAACCUUUUUGUUUGAUUAAAAUUAAAUAUUUGUAUACUUAUAAGAUUGAGUAAGUUGAGUUUGACGAGACAAUUAUUGAGUUGUUUGUUGGGCAAAAAAUGAGACCAAGGAAAAUACAUAUCAUUUCAUAGAUUAUAAGAACUUAAGCUAAUUAAUUAAUGAAAAUUACUGAGUUUUAAUUAGUUUAACAAUAUCAUAGAAUAUUUGUUUUACAAUUAUUAAACCUUACAAAAUUAAGAGACAACAAGUUAAAUAUUUUUAUUAUGACUCAACAUUUCCAUUUAAGUAAACAAUCAAGCGAACAGUUGAAAGAGAUGAUUACUUAAUAACAAACUGAAUAAGUUGUACAUAGUUUAAAUAUUUUGUAGUACACACGACAUGAUUAAAUAAAUAUUAACAUUAAUUAAAUAC